GAAAUGAAAUGGAUGAGCAGAGGGGUUGCACGUCGUGCACCUAUGCACGCCGUGCACCCCUAGGAUGCUUCCAAAUCACGGCCCUUAAGCAGGGGAACGUCGUGCACCCUUGCACGGCGUUCCUCCCAUUCAAAUACGCAAAAACUUUGAAAAAAGGAGGUGCACGCCGUGCACCCCCCAGUUUCAGCAACUUCCUAUAAAAGGGCUGAUUUUGAAGAAAGAGGGAAUUCUUCCCCAACUCGAUUUUCCCUGAUUUUUCCCGAGUCUGCAAAAACCAGCACCCAACCUCUUCUAGAGGCCAAAUUGAAGAUCUAAAGGAGCUAGGAGUGAAGCUAGGAGUGAAGCUAGGAGGUCAAGAGCAUCGAUUGGAGGAAGAUCAAGCCGAUUAUUUUCUGUAAUAAGAUGGUUAGGUCUUCUUUCCAAAUGCUUUCUUCUAGAAUCAUGUUUAGCUAAUUUCUUUGGGAUUCUUGGAUGAGAUGUAGGAAUUGAGCUAUGAAACCUGUCUUGGNN
RNAcentral lists this long non-coding RNA (510 nucleotides) under Linum usitatissimum (flax). Its description in RNAcentral is "long non-coding RNA (LUSI_LNC005995)". Lineage: Eukaryota; Viridiplantae; Streptophyta; Magnoliopsida; Malpighiales; Linaceae. The record is from RNAcentral.